AGUGAACGCUGGCGGUAGGCCUAACACAUGCGAGUCGAACGGCAGCACAGUAAGAGCUUGCUCUUACGGGUGGCGAGUGGCGGACGGGUGAGGAAUACAUCGGAAUCUACUUUUUCGUGGGGGAUAACGUAGGGAAACUUACGCUAAUACCGCAUACGACCUACGGGUGAAAGCAGGGGAUCUUCGGACCUUGCGCGAUUGAAUGAGCCGAUGUCGGAUUAGCUAGUUGGCGGGGUAAAGGCCCACCAAGGCGACGAUCCGUAGCUGGUCUGAGAGGAUGAUCAGCCACACUGGAACUGAGACACGGUCCAGACUCCUACGGGAGGCAGCAGUGGGGAAUAUUGGACAAUGGGCGCAAGCCUGAUCCAGCCAUACCGCGUGGGUGAAGAAGGCCUUCGGGUUGUAAAGCCCUUUUGUUGGGAAAGAAAAGCAGCAGGUUAAUACCCCGCUGUUCUGACGGUACCCAAAGAAUAAGCACCGGCUAACUUCG
This 490-nucleotide ribosomal RNA is filed under the name uncultured bacterium. RNAcentral's name for it is "partial 16S ribosomal RNA". It matches the Rfam family "Bacterial small subunit ribosomal RNA", at positions 29 to 505 of the family's 1533-position model. The record is from RNAcentral.